RNAcentral lists this ribosomal RNA (585 nucleotides) under uncultured bacterium. RNAcentral describes it as "partial 16S ribosomal RNA". It matches the Rfam family "Bacterial small subunit ribosomal RNA", at positions 355 to 1376 of the family's 1533-position model. The record is from RNAcentral.
UGGGGAAUAUUGGACAAUGGGCGCAAGCCUGAUCCAGCCAUGCCGCGUGUGUGAAGAAGGCCUUAUGGUUGUAAAGCACUUUAAGCGAGGAGGAGGCUACUUUAGUUAAUACCUAGAGAUAGUGGACGUUACUCGCAGAAUAAGCACCGGCUAACUCUGUGCCAGCAGCCGCGGUAAUACAGAGGGUGCAAGCGUUAAUCGGAUUUACUGGGCGUAAAGCGCGCGUAGGCGGCUAAUUAAGUCAAAUGUGAAAUCCCGAGCUUAACUUGGGAAUUGCAUCGAUACUGGUUAGCUAGAGUGUGGGAGAGGAUGGUAGAAUUCCAGGUGUAGCGGUGAAAUGCGUAGAGAUCUGGAGGAAUACCGAUGGCGAAGGCAGCCAUCUGGCCUAACACUGACGCUGAGGUGCGAAAGCAUGGGGAGCAAACAGGAUUAGAUACCCUGGUAGUCCAUGCCGUAAACGAUGUCUACUAGCCGUUGGGGCCUUUGAGGCUUUAGUGGCGCAGCUAACGCGAUAAGUAGACCGCCUGGGGAGUACGGUCGCAAGACUAAAACUAAAGGAAUUGACGGGGUCAUAGCUGUUUCCUG